This 639-nucleotide ribosomal RNA is filed under the name uncultured Verrucomicrobiota bacterium. RNAcentral describes it as "bacterial SSU rRNA". It matches the Rfam family "Bacterial small subunit ribosomal RNA", at positions 65 to 677 of the family's 1533-position model. Lineage: Bacteria; Pseudomonadati; Verrucomicrobiota. The record is from RNAcentral.
AACGAUUAUCAUCGGGUAGCAAUAUUCGGUGGUGAGAGUGGCGCAAAGGUGCGUAACACGUGGGUAAUUUGCCGUGAAGUCUGGAAUAACUUGCUGAAAGGCGAGCUAAUACCGGAUGUGAUUGCUGGAGGGCAUCCUCUGGCACUUAAAGUCGGGGACCGCAAGGCCUGACACUUCUCGAUGAGCCCGCGGCCUAUCAGCUAGUUGGUGAGGUAACGGCUUACCAAGGCUAAGACGGGUAGCUGGUCUGAGAGGACGACCAGCCACACUGGAACUGAGACACGGUCCAGACACCUACGGGUGGCAGCAGUCGAGAAUUUUUCUCAAUGGGGGAAACCCUGAAGGAGCGACGCCGCGUGGGGGAUGAAUGGCUUCGGCCCGUAAACCCCUGUCAUUUGCGAUCAAACCUUACGACCUAACACGUCGUAAGCUGAUAGUAGCGGAAGAGGAAGGGACGGCUAACUCUGUGCCAGCAGCCGCGGUAUGCAAAGGUCCCAAGCGUUGUUCGGAUCCCUGGGCGUAAGGGGUGCGUAGGCGGUCCGAUAAUUCUGACGUGAAGUCUUCAAGCUCAACUUGGAAACUGCGUCGAAUACUAUUCGGCUGGAGGAAUGGGAGGGGAAAACUGGAAUACUUGGUGUA